AAUAAUUUUGUUUGAACCGAAGACAGUGGGUGCUUUAAGCUUAAUAUCCUACCGAGGAAAGUAAGUAUACUAAACUCUUUGCUGUCUAUUCGGUGAAGAGUUUUAAAAU
RNAcentral lists this small RNA (109 nucleotides) under human gut metagenome. RNAcentral's name for it is "Ribosomal protein L10 leader". It matches the Rfam family "Ribosomal protein L10 leader". From Rfam's summary of the family: This family is a putative r-protein leader autoregulatory structure found in B. subtilis and other low-GC Gram-positive bacteria. The record is from RNAcentral.